Molecule: RNA transcript, 6457 nt
Organism: Homo sapiens (human)
Lineage: Eukaryota; Metazoa; Chordata; Mammalia; Primates; Hominidae
Gene: POM121L15P
Gene name: POM121 transmembrane nucleoporin like 15, pseudogene
Exons: 7
Source: RefSeq, marked validated
GCUCGCCUCUCUCCUUCCAGUACCUAUUGCAUGACCCCCCACGUCCGCCUCCCGCCAUUGCCAGCAAGCGCCUCGCGCGGGUACCUGGCUGCGCUUAUUAAUCCGUUAAGCUCGCUCUGUCACGGGCGCCGUGAUGUGCUCACGCGCCCGCUCCCUCAGGUUUAAAAGGCGCGUUGCCCGGCAACAGAAGAAACUGCUGGCUUAGCCGUUGGCCGAGUUGGCGGCUGGACGAGGACGCUCAGAGCCCAGCUCUCGAGAGUUCAAGCAACCGACGGUUCCCCACUGCUCCCAGGAGCGGUUACCUGGGCACUCUGUGCCCCUCCUUCCUGUUCGGGCCCAGGCCGAGGACCUGCCAGUAGGGCUCAGUUGCCUGGAGCCCGUUCAGCCCAUCCCCCAGUUCACUUUGCCUGUGGGAUCUCCCCGUUGCUCCUGCCCGUGGACUGAGUGGCAGGCCAUCCUACAAGCACCCGGACACUUGACAUCAGUGGUGUCAAGACAACUCUAAGAAGGUUUUCCGUGAUCCUGCAAGCCCUGCCUUCCUUCCUGGGAUCCUGCCUUCAAUUUGAUUGCACAGGUACCACAGCAAGCCAGUGCUGUGUGCUCCGAGUUCCAGGGCGUCCUCCAGCUCAGCCACUGCACUGAGAACAUGGACUCUCUGUGGGGCCCAGGAGCCGGGAGUCACCCCUUUGGGGUCCACAACACCCGGCUGUCCCCAGACUUGUGUCCAGGGAAGAUAGUGUUGAGGGCCCUCAAGGAGAGCGGGGCAGGGAUGCCUGAGCAGGACAAGGACCCUAGAGUCCAAGAGAAUCCUGGUGAUCAGAGAAGGGUCCCCGAGGUCACCGGGGAUGCACCGUCUGCAUUUCGGCCCCUGCGGGACAAUAGAGGCCUCUCUCCCUUUGUGCCCGGGCCCGGGCCUCUGCAGACAGACCUCCAUGCCCAGAGGUCAGAAAUCAGAUAUAACCAGACAUCCCAGACCUCCUGGACGAGCUCCUGCACCAACCGAAAUGCCAUCUCCAGCUCCUACAGCUCCACGGGAGGCUUGCCGGGGCUAAAGCGGAGGAGGGGGCCAGCCUCAUCCCACUGCCAGCUGACCCUCAGUUCCUCAAAGACAGUGAGUGAGGACAGGCCUCAGGCUGUCUCUUCAGGUCACACCCAGUGUGAAAAGGCAGCAGAUAUAGCACCAGGGCAGACACUCGCCCUCAGGAAUGACUCCUCCACAUCCGAGGCCUCUAGGCCCAGUACACACAAGUUUCCCCUGCUGCCACGCAGGCGAGGGGAGCCUUUGAUGCUGCCACCUCCCUUAGAGCUGGGGUACCGGGUCACUGUUGAAGACCUGGACCGGGAGAAGGAGGCGGCAUUCCAGCGCAUCAACAGUGCACUGCAGGUUGAGGACAAGGCCAUCUCGGACUGCAGACCCUCACGACCUUCCCACACUUUGUCCUCACUUGCAACAGGGACUUCUGGUCUGCCUGCCAUUUCUAAAGCACCCAGUAUGGAUGUACAGCAGGAGACACACAAGUCCCAAGACUGCCUGGGCCUACUGGCCCCCUUAGCAUCUGCUGCAGGUGUCCCCUCUACAGCUCCCAUGUCUGGGAAGAAGCACAAACCACCAGGCCCCCUGUUCUCCUCCUCAGAUCCCCUUCCUGCCACCUCUUCCCAUUCCCAGGACUCAGCCCAGGUCACCUCGCUGAUUCCUGCCCCCUUCCCAGCUGCAAGCAUGGAUGUGGGCAUGAGAAGAACAAGGUGUGGCACUUCUGCUCCUGCAGCUGCCGCAGCAGCCCCUCCCCCCUCCACAUUGAACCCCACGUUGGGGUCACUACUGGAGUGGAUGGAGGCCCUUCACAUUUCUGGGCCUCAGCCACAGCUGCAGCAGGUGCCCAGAGGUCAGAACCAGAGAUCCCAGACCUCCCGGACCAGCUCGUGCCCCAAACGAAAUGCCAUCUCGAGCCCCUACCGCUCUACGGGAGGCCUCCCGGAACGAAAGCGGAGAAGGGGGCCAGCCUCAUCCCACUGCCAGCUGAACCUCAGUUCCUGAAACACAUAGGACCCAGGGUGCGUGCCCAUCUCCAGCCCAGGGCAGCUCCCCUGUAAGCUGGGUGAGCUACUGAAGCCAAGGCGGGAGGCAGCUGACAACACCCACAGCCCAUGCGGAGGUGGUGGAAAGGCUGAACUCAGCAGCAACACCAAAUCCUGGACCAGGCAAAAACCACCCAAGACUGAGGGGCUCGUGCCAGAGCGGUGGCCACAGCCCCACCCCACCGGCUCAGGGGUUCUUCCCAGCGGCGCUGAUCAUGAAGUCAACAUGCACGCAAGUCGUCUCAGGAAACUUCUUAAUGAAAGUGUCGGCCACGGUGGUGUGUAGGUGGCUGAGCUCAGAUUGCAGCUGCUAAGACACCAGCCACUUACCAAGAGAAAGCCAGGCUGCUUCAAACCCAGGGCCCACGGCAAAAAAGCAUCACUUCCGGCCGGGGAGUCUGGAAGCCACGCCUUGUGGGAGGUCACACUGGCAUCUAGGCCUUCGCCUGCAUUGCAGAAGGAGAGCCGGGUCCCCCUCCUGGAGAACGCUGCGUUCCCCAGCCCCACACCGGCUUUGCCACCACACAGGCUGUUGAGGCAGGAGGCGGAGACUUCAGAACCCACUCCUGAGAACAGCGGAGCCAGGCGCUUAGAGGAAGACCAAAUGCUGCCAGGACACGGAUUGUCCAGGAUUACAUUCCAGCAUCUUAUUAGAGGACCGAAGCAGAGGGUGCUGUUUCAACGCCACCACCAGGAGAGAGGCAGAGGGGCUGUGCCGUGCUAGAGUCCUCAGGGAGGGAGUGACCUCGACCCUGGCUGUGCUGCAAGCUGACUCCAGCCUUGGGGUCAGCAGCACCCGGCAAACAGCAGCAGGAGGAGCCGCUAGAGCAGCUGCUCAUGGGCAGAGCUGCCCUCGGGCAACUCCUGCCACCACCCCCUCCCCAGGGAGCCCAAGGCAGGGGAGGCUCAGCAUGGAAUGAAACAGGGGAGUGAGGGACACAAGGAGGUGGGAAGUGGGAGGGUCCCAGCCCCACCAAGUACGCAGAGAACCCCUCGUUGUCCUGGACACCACAGGGGCACCUGCAGGCUGGGAGACCAGGUCCUCUGUGCAUGGGCCCGGGAGGCAGACCUGCCCUAAGGGUGAUGCACAGGCUACAGGUGCUGCACGCUCCAGCGCCCACUCUAGACAUCAGCCUCCAGGUUGACUAAGGGUCAGGUCAUGUUUGAAACCAUGCUUGGCUGGACCAGGACCCAUGGCAAGAGCACCUGGGCACCAGUGUUUAGCCCUGGUCUGCAGGAAGGAGGACAGCAGACUUUAGGACCCCACAGCACGGCAGUGCUGACCAUUUCACCCACUUGGCCUCCUUGAGAAAUAUGGAUGGGGACCCCUCUGGGGAUGGGCAAGGCCUUCCAGGAUAGGCUCAGUUUUGGUCCCCUGCUUUUUGAGGUUGGGUUAAAAUUCCGACCAUGGCAGAGGAAGCACAGCUCAGGUUCCCACACCUCACUUUUCACAGCCUCUGAGGGCAGCAGUGCACGUGGAGGAGACGUCUCCCAUGAGGCCAAGGCCUCCAGUGCUCACCGAUGCCCUCUGCGAAGUUGGGGUAGAACUCGUCAGUGAAGAGGGGCUCGGGCAGCUCACGGAAAUACAGCUUCAGCGUGCCUGCGAUGGCGUUCACGUCCAUCUCGCUCAUCAUCACCGACACGUCCUUGUUAUCUGGAAAGAGCACGGAAAUGCAGCGGCCUCCUUGAAGAUCCUGAUAAAUGAAGAAAAGACACAGAGAAGGAUGUGACAUGCCUGGGCCGUGGAGCACUCUGAGAUCUCAUCGCGGACACCACUGCCCACACCUCCAUCCCGUCCUGCGCAGGCCGACACUCACUGACGUUGAAGGCUGCCUUCAGUGCCUGGAUGUCUGCGGCCACCCCAGACAUGCGGUAGAUGCCCACCUCCUCCAUGCCUCGGCGCUCGAUCUCCUCCACGCACUGGCGCACGAUGUAGGGCACCUUGGACCUCUCUCUCCUGCGGGAGGAGGGAAUGUUCUCAGUGUCCUAACAGCCCUGCUUGGGCCAUAACACAGGAGACCUGCUCCCUAUGUGCACACCCGGAGGUGGGGUGAGGACGGUGAUGAAGGUACCCAGGUCUGGGGCUGCACACAGAGCCUUCUGCAUGCCUGUCCUCCCUCUGCAAGCUCUGUCCUCAUUGCAUGUGCUUUCUCAGGAACCUUUCAAGCGGCCAGAACCCCUGCAAAUCACACAUGACCUUUGUGGGAAGGUCAGGAGGCCUGUCUAAGUCAAGUCAGCACGGGAAGGGCAUCUGACAGAUUCCAGGCCUGGGGUGAGCAGCCUGUGCCCCCGGCUGGGAGGUCAGACCCGGUGUUGGUCCUGCCACCCACGUGCUGUGUGAGAGGAGAAUCCGUGACCCCUGCCCUGGGCCUUAACACACAUCCGACGAAUGAAUGAAGGGUUGCCUCAGCACCGGUGCUCCAAGUCCUGCGAUGCUAAGUGCUUUUCUCCUCUGAGUCUUAGCAAUGGACAAUUCCAAUACCUCCACACAGGACACUAGAGUAAGAAUCCUUCACAGUUAGAACGCAGUGCUGUGCGGAGGCCUUAACUUGAGUUCUGUUUUGCACCUGGAUUUACCAGCACAUCAAAGCUGCUUCGCAAGCCCCCUCAUCAGCAGGGCUCAUGUGGGGGAGCUGCUGAUGGAGUCCUCGCUGCUCAUGCCCACAGCCCUCCCAGAGUGCUAUGCGAGUGGCUGCCGUGCAGUUGGGGGUGGGGCGUGGUGUUUAGACACAGAUAGGAGUCCAGGGUAUGACUGAUGGAGGCCCCGGCCCACGUGACCAGCAAGGUCAGAGGCCCAGCCAGAUUCCAUCCUGAGGAAGCAAAUGAAUUCUCAGAGGAAGUGGUCUGUGUCUGCAUGAACUGCUCUCAAACCAACAAAUAGGCUUCUCUUGGCAACUGACUCGUGACAAAGGGUUCAAGAUUGUUUGAAAAAAAAAAAGGGGGGGGGGGGACAGGGAGGCAGUAGGUCCUGGAAAAGUAAAUUCUUUAUUUUACAAUAAGAAAGUGAUUACAUAUUUUAUUUUUUUUUACAAUGGUGGAAAAUUAGAAGUGAUUGUGAAAAUGAUGUCUACCCGCCUUGCUGAUGAGUAGGAUGUGAUUUGGCUCUUUAGGAAACUGAAUUUGCAGAACUUAAGAAUAUUGAUUUAUAAAGGGCAUGGCCAUUGACCCAGUCCAUCUUAUGCAAAUCUGGAUGCCAUAAAUAAUAUUUAAAAAUGAAAGUAUUGGGGUGGAGGUUGCAGUGAGCGGAGAUCGCCCCACUACACUCCAGCCUGGUCAACAGAGUGAGACUCUGUCUCAAAACAAAAAAAAAAAAAAAAAAAGAAGAAGUCAUUCCCAACAUUGCUCAUCAAAUUAUGACCAUAAAUUUCCAGGAUCAGACUAACGGCUAAAGAGACUGAUGCAUCAACACCAGGCAGAGAAUAAAGCAGAUUUUUUUUGUUUUGUUUUGGAGAGCCUCUAGGAACUUGAAAAAUACAUAUGCCACACUCUUAAGACCCGGUGGUUCUUAAUCAGGGAUGUUCAUUAAAAUGCUGGAAAACUCUAAAGAUUUCCAGGUCCCAUCCAAGGAGAUUUUGCUUCUGAUUGACUGGCUAGUGGCCUGGCCAUUGGUAUUUUGAAAAAUCCCUCCAAGUGAUUCUUUUACAUCCCAGCUAGAAAACCCUAAAUUAAAGGUGAAAAACCAGACACCAAGUGGCAUUUAAAUAAAUGUCAACUUUAACUCCACAAAGCAUCUGGUUGCAUGUGGACAGAAAGAGAAGGAAAGAGGGCCCUAUAUCUGGAUAACUUGGAAAUGUGCUCCCCCUAGCAAGAUAUCUACCAAAAUUAAAACCAUAUUUGAGGAUGCUGGCACUGUGAGCAAUAUAUAAAUGAUGCAUGUAACAUCAUUUAAUAUGAUCUUAUUUUUAAAAAUGAGUAGAGUGGUGUUUUCUAGCUGUUAGUGUUUCCAAAUAUCAAUGUAGAAAUUAGCCUUCUGCAGCUGCAGAGGCAAUUCAGUUUGCAGCUUGCUUGCAUGUGGCCUAGAGCCACCCAGCCUGAUAUGUACUAAUUUUUUAUGUUUAACUUGCCAGAGUAGAAACUCAGUUUCUGGGCGAGGCAUAGUGGCUCAUGCCUGUAAUCCCAGAACUUUGGGAGGCCAAGGCAAGCAGAUCACAAGGUCGGGAGUUCAAGACCAGCCUGGCUGACAUAGUGAAACCCUAUCUUUGCUAAAAAUACAAAAAUUAGCCCGGCAUGGUGGCAGGCACCUGUAGUCCCAGCUACUUGGGAGGCUGAGGCAGGAGAAUCACUUGAACCUGGGAGGCAGAGGUUGUGGUGAACUGAGAUCAUGCCCCUGCACUCCAGCCUGGGCAACAGAGUGAGACUCCAUCUCAAAAAAAAAAAAAAA